ACAGGUGGUGCAUGGUUGUCGUCAGCUCGUGUCGUGAGAUGUUGGGUUAAGUCCCGCAACGAGCGCAACCCUUGUCUUAUGUUGCCAGCAUUUGGUUGGGGACUCAUGAGAGACUGCCGGGGUUAACUCGGAGGAAGGUGGGGAUGACGUCAAAUCAUCAUGCCCCUUAUGUCCAGGGCUUCACACAUGCUACAAUGGUCGGUACAACGCGCAGCGACACUGUGAGGUGGAGCGAAUCGCUGAAAGCCGGCCUUAGUUCGGAUUGGGGUCUGCAACUCGACCCCAUGAAGUCGGAGUCGCUAGUAAUCGCAGAUCAGCAACGCUGCGGUGAAUACGUUCCCGGGCCUUGUACACACCGCCCGUCACGUCAUGAAAGUUGGUAACACCCGAAGCCAGUGGCCUAAACUUGUUAGGGAGCUGUCGAAGGUGGGAUCGGCGAUUGGGACGAAGUCGUAACAAGGUACCCGUACCGGAAGGUGCGGGUGGAUCACCUCCUUUCUAAGGAG
RNAcentral lists this ribosomal RNA (506 nucleotides) under Corynebacterium sp. HMSC076G08. RNAcentral describes it as "bacterial SSU rRNA". It matches the Rfam family "Bacterial small subunit ribosomal RNA", at positions 1034 to 1533 of the family's 1533-position model. Lineage: Bacteria; Bacillati; Actinomycetota; Actinomycetes; Mycobacteriales; Corynebacteriaceae. The record is from RNAcentral.